Molecule: ribosomal RNA, 550 nt
Filed under: uncultured bacterium
Lineage: Bacteria
Description: bacterial SSU rRNA
Rfam family: Bacterial small subunit ribosomal RNA
Source: RNAcentral
AAUAGAUACCCCGGUAGUCCACCCCGUAAACGUUGGGAACUAGUUGUGGGGUCCAUUCCACGGAUUCCGUGACGCAGCUAACGCAUUAAGUUCCCCGCCUGGGGGAGUACGGCCGCAAGGCUAAAACUCAAAGGAAUUGACGGGGGACCCGCACAAGCGGCGGAGCAUGCGGAUUAAUUCGAUGCAACGCGAAGAACCUUACCAAGGCUUGACAUAUACGAGAACGGGCCAGAAAUGGUCAACUCUUUGGACACUCGUAAACAGGUGGUGCAUGGUUGUCGUCAGCUCGUGUCGUGAGAUGUUGGGUUAAGUCCCGCAACGAGCGCAACCCUCGUUCUAUGUUGCCAGCACGUAAUGGUGGGAACUCAUGGGAUACUGCCGGGGUCAACUCGGAGGAAGGUGGGGAUGACGUCAAAUCAUCAUGCCCCUUAUGUCUUGGGCUUCACGCAUGCUACAAUGGCCGGUACAAAGGGCUGCAAUACCGUAAGGUGGAGCGAAUCCCAAAAGCCGGUCCCAGUUCGGAUUGAGGUCUGCAACUCGACCUCAUGAA